CUCUCUCUCUCUCUCUCUCUCUCUCUCUCUCUUCCAACAGGGAACAGAUGAAAGGUCAAAGGUGUCACCUGUAGAGGAAGCCGCCCUCUGCCGCUCGCAUGCCAGUGCCUCAUUUCACACACGCGCAUACACACACAGUUCACCAACUCCCAGGGGAUGGGCAGGACUCAGCUGGGAGCCAUUACAGGUGCUGUCUAAGCACACACAAAUAUCCAUACAUGAGCACACCCACAGCUCCAUGGCUGAUGUGAGUCUUCCAGAGUGACACUCAGCCACCUCUGACCCUUUUUGUGUCCUUCCUAAUCAUCAUCAGCACACACUUAACUACCUUCACAAUCAUCAUCAUUGCUUCAAGACUGACAGAAGACUCUAUUUUGACUAAGACACACAUACUUCAAGUUCUCAAAAAACACUGACCCCAGUGAUCCAACAGAUGUCAGUGAUUUCUGCCAAGAGUUGGAUCACCUGAAAUUAAAAUUCCACGUCCCUCUGCUGUCCGAGCCACAAAAUCUAUUUAUUAAGCUUUGUUUUCAAACUUUUUGAAACCUUCACUGGCCAUCUAUUGAAGCAUGAUUAAAGCCGAGAGUCUUUCAUGGCCUAUUUCACCCUCCGCUCUGUUCCUCUCAGCAUGUGCAGGGAUGCUUCUUCCAGAUGUGCAGGAGACGACUCCUGUACGAGCGCUGUAUGUGCAUGUGCAAGGUGUUGAUACCUAACUUUACUUCUCCUCUCCUAAAGGAGUGGUAGUCGCUGACAGGCAGGGAUCCGGUGGGCCAGUGGUCCUGUCCCCUAGGCCAACGUGUCUUCAGCUUCAGUACAGGGGGGAGAGCUGCUGAGCGCCACACACGCUGGCUCGAUGAAAAAGCUCUAAUUACAACAAGGGGAAUUGGUUAUUCUUCAUGAGUCAUACACAGGAUAUGAGACAGUAUGUCCAGACGGUCAGUCGGGAUCCGGGAUUCAGCAGGAAAAGAGGCAUGUUGCUAAAGCCCAAUGAAAAUAAAAUUGAAAGCAAAUCUAUAUUACAGUUAUGAGAUAAGACAGAAAAGAGACUCGAGUUGUGUUUAAGGGUCAGGUCAAACACAGGAAGCCGAGCUGAUUGGUUCUACUCAGAUAUCGAUGGGCAUGUGUGACCAAUCGCUGCGACCAGGGCUUUCCCCAGUCUCCAUCUGCUGUUGCUGUGGCUGGUAAGUGUGUGUCUAAUCGUUCCAGCCCAGGGCUUUCUCCCAGUUUCCACUCACCUCUUGACCAUUGCUUCCUGUCAAAUGUGUUAACGCUGCUUUUAAUCAGUUUUACUGUCUCAUGCACACACACACACACACACGCGCGCCAAUACAGCUGGUCCUAUCCAUCCCUGCUCCCCGCAGCAUGCUUCAUUAAGAUUUCACCUCACCCCAUAACCCAGCUGAUAUCUCUUACAGUCAAACAACCCGUGAACAUGGACAUGUAGCCUUGUCUUUACCCUUUACUGAGGCCGUCUGCCAGUCUCCGUUACAGCACACACAUUCUGCAGUAUGAACUGUGCGCAAUGCUUCACUUUGAAAAUACACUUGACAGACUCGACUAGACUACCAAAGCCUUAGGCUAAAUCAAACAAACAGAAGUUUCUAUUUAACUCUUUCUGUUUCAGAAAAUUGAGUUAAAACACUUCAUGCCCUGUUCUACUCUUCCUGGUUUGGUUCACUAGUUGGCUCUUCGAAGCUAAGCUAGCCAUGCAGCAGUCUUUAAUCUAGUUUGAACGCUACUGCAUGGCUAGCUUAGCGUAAAAAGUCCAACUCGUGGAAAAAAAAAAACCUAAAGCAUUAUAGGCCUCCUUAAAUAGUAACUUUGAUGAGCACAUAGUUUAAACAAUAUGUGCCUGCUAAACAUAACAUUUCACAACUAUUGAUAAGGAUCACAGCAGAAGGUCUCUGUCUUGAAUGAUCUAGAGUCUGAAUCACAAAGGGCCAUGAAGCUUCUGUUCAUACAGGUGAGCUCUCCUGGACUGUUGUUAAUUGUCAUGAGCAUGUUAGAUAGAUCAGCACUAUUCUGCAGCACAGACUUUUGUUGAUGUAUCUUCUGUUUCUGUAAACAAAAAUUUGGAGGGGGUUUGGUUACACUUACUGAACAUAUAUUUUGUAGUAUAACAACAUUUUGUCUCAAUGAGCUGCCUGUAUAUUGACUCAUUAUUAGUAGUGAAUUGAUGGGGUUAAUAAAGCAAAACUCUAGUUGUUUACAAGAUGACAUUGUUCUGAUAAUGUGAGAAACAGAAAUUAUAUCUAUUAAUAAGACUUUAUUAUUAUACCAGUAUAAAGUACUGCAUGUGUGUGUAGGUGUGUGUGUGGUGCAUAUGGUAAAACACUCUGCAGGUCUUCUGUUAGUCACACUUCCGCGUCUCAAAUUGAAUUAGCGUUGACAGCGCACAGCGCCAGCCGCGUGUAUGUGUGUAUGCACUGGGAGCAUGAGCUGUUGGCAAGCUGUCUGUGUGUGUGUUUGAAACAGAGAAGAGAGAGAGGCCUUCCCCCCUGAAAUCAAUUAAGCGAGUAUAGGUUUGUAGGUCUGGUGGUGAGGGGGGCACAUCCUGUAGAGGGCAGCGCAGACAGACAGCGACAUCUGGGGCAGCAGGCAGGUCGACCCUGGGUUGAGACAUGAAAGAAGCAGGGCAGGGAUAAGGGGAGAGGAGAGAACAGGCCAGCGUUAAAUCACUCUGUUCUCUCCCCUUCUACCCUCACCUCAGCCCCUCAUCUGCCAUCCGAUACAUCAGCCAUGGAGCAUCCUUUUCCUUCACUCUCUCUCUAUCUCUCCCCCCUCUCUCUUCUGUAUCUGUCCCAGGAGUGAUAACCUGUCAUACACAGGAAGCAAAAAGAGCUAAAAACGAUCUAUCCUUCUGUCAGAGAUAAGGGCAAGGAGAAAAAAGAAUAUCUCACAUCUCUUGUUCCAAAAGACUUGAUUUAUAGGUCCAUAUCAAAUAAAAUCAUUGCCAGAGAGCACCCUCUCUCGUUAUACAAUAAUCUGUCAGACACACACACACACACACACACACACACACACACACACACACACACACACACACA
Long non-coding RNA from Labrus bergylta (ballan wrasse), 3047 nucleotides. RefSeq lists it as uncharacterized. NCBI's taxonomy places the organism in Eukaryota, Metazoa, Chordata, Actinopteri, Labriformes, Labridae. The record is from RefSeq and is a predicted model, not a curated record.